Molecule: ribosomal RNA, 458 nt
Filed under: uncultured Bacteroidota bacterium
Lineage: Bacteria; Pseudomonadati; Bacteroidota
Description: bacterial SSU rRNA
Rfam family: Bacterial small subunit ribosomal RNA
Source: RNAcentral
GGCAGGCUUAACACAUGCAAGUCGAGGGGUAACGGGGAAGCUUGCUUCCGCCGACGACCGGCGCACGGGUGCGUAACGCGUAUACAAUCUACCUUGUACUGGGGUAUAGCCUUUAGAAAUGAAGAUUAAUCCCCCAUAGUCUCUUAGAGUGGCAUCACUUCUAGAGUAAAGGUUACGGUAUAAGAUGAGUAUGCGUUCUAUUAGUUUGUUGGUGUGGUAACGGCACACCAAGACUACGAUAGAUAGGGGCCCUGAGAGGGGGAUCCCCCACACUGGUACUGAGACACGGACCAGACUCCUACGGGAGGCAGCAGUGAGGAAUAUUGGACAAUGGAGGCAACUCUGAUCCAGCCAUGCCGCGUGCAGGAAGACUGCCCUAUGGGUUGUAAACUGCUUUUAUACAGGAAGAAACACCUCUACGUGUAGAGGCUUGACGGUACUGUAAGAAUAAGGAUCGG